ACACGAUUUGAAGGUAGGCUCUAAUUUGAUUUUUUAGAGCGUAGGCUCUAUACAAACGCGAUCGACAUACAAAACGACAAUUAUGUAAGGAAAGACCGAAAACUCACCACCAAAGUAAAUAAAUAUCAAAUUAACUAAGUCAAAUGGACUACUUCUAUUCAAAGGAGAAAGCAGAGGGGGAUAGAGACUUUCGAGAGCGAGGUUAUACCACUGCAGAGGGAGAGGACAUUUGUGCUGAUUCUGCUGCUGAGAAGAUAGAGAAAAGGUCGAAGGAAAGAGAAUUCUCUUUUUAUCUGAGAUUAUGAGAGGAACACUCAUUCUAGGGAACUAGGCCUUACUUGGGCCGAAUUAGUGGGACUUGGGCCGAGUCUGAGUACUUGGCUUGGGCACCGGCUGGAUAACCGGCCUGAGUCAUUGUUUCGAACACUAGUUAUGAUGGAGAAUUGAUGGGUCAAAGCUGGUGGCUUCUCCAAUUAUGGCGAAAUCAUGUGAAUCGUGUGCUUUUAUGCCGUAUUGGGAGGUUGAAAUAAAGGAAUGCAAACAGACAAUUGUCACAUUAAAGAUGUAGACCUGUCUCUGAAGACUGCAUUGGCUCAGACCAGUCACGACCUCAAUUGAUGAAACAACGAUGCAGAGAUAAAGUUCAUAGAAAAACUGUUCCUAUACUUGGGGGACCUUCAAAUUCACGACUCUCUAGUUCAAUGCAAUCCACCCUAUCGAUAGCUUCUUCUGCGCAAACCCAAACGCUUGAAAAUGUUAUUAAUGAAGAUUGGAUACAUAUUGAAUGGCUGGUUAUUUUGCACCAUGGCAGCAAAUGUUCAGCUCUGGAAAACCAAUGCGCAUAUCAUGUCUGUGUAAAUGCACAAAGGCUUUGGAUGCACAUUUCUAGUUGUGAACGUGUUCAUUGUCUCGUUACCCUUUGCCCUUUGCCAGCCGCUGAGGAAAUUGUGGGGGCACUAUUGUCAUUGUAGCGAGGAUGCUUGCUUUUUUUUUGUACUCACGUGAUUACAUUUGAACAAAAGCCAUCUUUGAACCAGCCAUCAAAUUCAGGGAAGGUGGAUUUGAUAAGGAGUAGGGAAGAGGCUAUGAGCUCAGAGCUUUUGGGGGAUGUGCAACAUCCAUUGAAAAGAAUGACGGUUGAACAAUCUGGAAGUGCAAUACCCAUUUUCACCAAUGAAGAUUUAACCAAAGAAGUGCAAUACCCAAUAUCAGAGGUUUGUGAUCUUGGGAAAGCAAAAACAGGUGUUCAAAUCAAAGAGCCUAGUUUUGUUGAUGUUGGGAGUUCCCUACCUUUGUGUCAUGAGAGUCAAGGGAACAAACUGGAAAAUGGUAUGGAGCACACUUCUCAGGUGAAAGGUGAUAUUUCUUUCACUUCCUCAGAUGGGUUGUUAUCCCAAGCCACCAAUGAAGAUUGCACUGAGAUAAACGAGUGCCGAAUGGAAAUAAACCAGGAAUCUGUUAUCUUACUAGCUGAUCAUGAAGCAGGAACUAUGCAUGGGAUGUAGAAGCUAAGAGGUGCUUCUUUGCUUGAGUAUUUCACUCCAGAGCAAAUUAGAACUCACAUCAACUCUCUAAGGCAGUUUGUGGGUCCGGUUAGUACUCUACUUUCUCAAGGUAUACCAUUCUAAUUUCAUGCUUCUCGACGUCUUUGCUAUGGGGGGAAUGCAGGCAUUAUGUUUUCUGUGGGAUUUACAUUCUGAAAUAUAUUAGCCUUGGGGUAACUAAUUGCAAUCGUCAUUUUUUAAGCUUAUUGUAACAGUAAGAUUUACAUGUUUCUCUCUGGGAUUGCAAAAUUUUAAUUUAAUAGAUAUAACUGUCUCGUCCUAUGAAAUUUACAACCACCGGUCUACUUUCUUUUUUCACUGUGAAUGCGGUAUUCUGCCUUAUUUUUAUGAUGCAUAUGAUUAAAUGGAUAAGACUGUCGAGGUAAUUAGAUUUUCAAGUAGUUAUUUGACUUAGUAUUAUGAGAGAAUUGAUUUCCAGUAUAUUUGUGGUAUUGUGCUUCUUUUUUUCUUUUUUUAACUUUUUGGGAUUAUUCUGUCUCGAACAUGAUAUAUAAAAUAUUGGUUUGAUCGUCUUGUUGGCACCAAUUUUUCACUGUACGCUGGUCUACCUUUGAGUUCUUUGAACUUUGUGUAGCCUAGUUUUGUAAAUGAUAAUGUUAAAAGAAAAUCUUGCACAUUCUUCACGAAAAUUUCACAAUAUUACUGUUUAAGUGCUUUCUUCUACAUGCAUGAACUGGGACAGCGCAUCUGUGGGCUUCUAGAAUAGUUGGACUUUUAAUAUGCAGUCAUCGUUCUUGUUCUUUCUUGUUUUCUUAGUUGGCCUUUUUCGUUUUUGAUUGGUAACUUAAUUUCAUUAACUUUUGGAGAACUUUCAUGUACAUAAACUUACAUGUAAAUCUGAUUAGUGGGGAAUGUGUUAGUUGAUUUGUUGGCCUUGAA
Amborella trichopoda is the source of this 2444-nucleotide long non-coding RNA. RefSeq lists it as uncharacterized. Lineage: Eukaryota; Viridiplantae; Streptophyta; Magnoliopsida; Amborellales; Amborellaceae. The record is from RefSeq and is a predicted model, not a curated record.